UCUAGUUUGGNGGCUGUAGAUGUAUGGGCC
This 30-nucleotide non-coding RNA is filed under the name Rattus norvegicus (Norway rat). Lineage: Eukaryota; Metazoa; Chordata; Mammalia; Rodentia; Muridae. The record is from RNAcentral.